Hydra vulgaris (swiftwater hydra) is the source of this 465-nucleotide long non-coding RNA. RefSeq lists it as uncharacterized. Lineage: Eukaryota; Metazoa; Cnidaria; Hydrozoa; Anthoathecata; Hydridae. The record is from RefSeq and is a predicted model, not a curated record.
CAACCUCAUGGAUUACAUAUAUUUAUAAGAGCAGUGUUAAAGACCAUUUAAUCUUUAUCAAAUCUUAUAUAAAGUAUCUACUGCAUUCUUUUUGGCAGAAAUUGGUUCAAUAACAUCAGAUAAAGUAAAAUCCUAAAUAAAAUGGAUUGCAGGCGUUAAUAACACAUAACUCCUUACAUGUUCAAGAGUAUUUCUGCAUAGUGCACUCUGACUGUUGACAAUAUUUUGCAUACUGAUAUGAGUAAAAGUGACUUCAACAACCAGAAUGUAUUUUUGAUAAAUAUUAGUAAUAACAGCUCAUAUUUAAACGAGAUAAUAUGUAAAGAGGUUUUCAAAGAAGUCAUUUUAACAACAAUGGAAAAGCUUCCGAUUCCCGAGAUAACCGUGAAAGCAUUCGAUACAUGAUUAAAGAAUCGUUUAAAAGUUUGCUUAAUUUCGACAGUGUAAUUUUAAUUACUAUUUUUU